Molecule: ribosomal RNA, 468 nt
Filed under: uncultured bacterium
Lineage: Bacteria
Description: partial 16S ribosomal RNA
Rfam family: Bacterial small subunit ribosomal RNA
Source: RNAcentral
GACGAACGCUGGCGGCGUGCUUAACACAUGCAAGUCGAACGGAAAGGCCCUGCUUUUGCGGGGUGCUCGAGUGGCGAACGGGUGAGUAACACGUGAGUAAACCGCCCUUGACUUUGGGAUAAAUUUAGGAAACUGGGGCUAAUACCGGAUAGGAGCUACUGCUGCACGGUGGGGGUUGGAAAGUUUCGGCGGUUGGGGAUGGACUCGCGGCUUAUCAGCUUGUUGGUGGGGUAGUGGCUUACCAAGGCUUUGACGGGUAGCCGGCCUGGGAGGGUGACCGGCCACAUUGGGACUGAGGUACGGCCCAGUCUCCUACGGGCGGCAGCAGUGGGGAAUAUUGCACAAUGGGCGGAAGCCUGAUGCAGCGGCGCCGCGUGCGGGAUGACGGCCUUCGGGUUGUAAACCGCUUUCGCCUGUGACGAGGCGUGAGUGACGGUAAUGGGUAAAGAAGCACCGGCUAACUACGUG